This 1357-nucleotide ribosomal RNA is filed under the name uncultured bacterium. RNAcentral describes it as "bacterial SSU rRNA". It matches the Rfam family "Bacterial small subunit ribosomal RNA", at positions 18 to 1396 of the family's 1533-position model. The record is from RNAcentral.
CCUGGCUCACGACUAACGCUGGCGGCGCGCCUAACACAUGCAAGUCGAACGAGUGAGAGAGAGCUUGCUUUCUCGAGCGAGUGGCGAACGGGUGAGUAACGCGUGAGGAACCUGCCUCAAAGAGGGGGACAACAGUUGGAAACGACUGCUAAUACCGCAUAAGCCCACGGUGCCGCAUGGCACAGAGGGAAAAGGAGCAAUCCGCUUUGAGAUGGCCUCGCGUCCGAUUAGCUAGUUGGUGAGGUAACGGCCCACCAAGGCAACGAUCGGUAGCCGGACUGAGAGGUUGAACGGCCACAUUGGGACUGAGACACGGCCCAGACUCCUACGGGAGGCAGCAGUGGGGAAUAUUGCACAAUGGGGGAAACCCUGAUGCAGCGACGCCGCGUGGAGGAAGAAGGUCUUCGGAUUGUAAACUCCUGUUGUUGGGGAAGAUAAUGACGGUACCCAACAAGGAAGUGACGGCUAACUACGUGCCAGCAGCCGCGGUAAAACGUAGGUCACAAGCGUUGUCCGGAAUUACUGGGUGUAAAGGGAGCGCAGGCGGGAAGACAAGUUGGAAGUGAAAUCUAUGGGCUCAACCCAUAAACUGCUUUCAAAACUGUUUUUCUUGAGUAGUGCAGAGGUAGGCGGAAUUCCCGGUGUAGCGGUGGAAUGCGUAGAUAUCGGGAGGAACACCAGUGGCGAAGGCGGCCUACUGGGCACCAACUGACGCUGAGGCUCGAAAGUGUGGGUAGCAAACAGGAUUAGAUACCCUGGUAGUCCACACCGUAAACGAUGAUUACUAGGUGUUGGAGGAUUGACCCCUUCAGUGCCGCAGUUAACACAAUAAGUAAUCCACCUGGGGAGUACGACCGCAAGGUUGAAACUCAAAGGAAUUGACGGGGGCCCGCACAAGCAGUGGAGUAUGUGGUUUAAUUCGACGCAACGCGAAGAACCUUACCAAGUCUUGACAUCCCUUGACAGGCAUAGAAAUAUGUUUUCUCUUCGGAGCAAGGAGACAGGUGGUGCAUGGUUGUCGUCAGCUCGUGUCGUGAGAUGUUGGGUUAAGUCCCGCAACGAGCGCAACCCUUAUGGUCAGUUACUACGCAAGAGGACUCUGGCCAGACUGCCGUUGACAAAACGGAGGAAGGUGGGGAUGACGUCAAAUCAUCAUGCCCUUUAUGACUUGGGCUACACACGUACUACAAUGGCGUUAAACAAAGAGAAGCAAGACCGCGAGGUGGAGCAAAACUCAGAAACAACGUCCCAGUUCGGACUGCAGGCUGCAACUCGCCUGCACGAAGUCGGAAUUGCUAGUAAUCGUGGAUCAGCAUGCCACGGUGAAUACGUUCCCGGGCCUUGCACACACCGCCCG